CGGAGGAAAAGAAACCAACAGGGAUUGCCCUAGUAACGGCGAGUGAAGCGGCAACAGCUCAAAUUUGAAAUCUGGCCCUAGGCCCGAGUUGUAAUUUGUAGAGGAUGUUUCUGGUGCGGUGCCUUCCGAGUUCCCUGGAACGGGACGCCAUAGAGGGUGAGAGCCCCGUCCGGUCGUGCGCUAAGCCUAUGUGAAACUCCUUCGACGAGUCGAGUAGUUUGGGAAUGCUGCUCAAAAUGGGAGGUAUACGUCUUCUAAAGCUAAAUACCGGCCAGAGACCGAUAGCGCACAAGUAGAGUGAUCGAAAGAUGAAAAGCACUUUGAAAAGAGGGUUAAAUAGUACGUGAAAUUGCUGAAAGGGAAGCGCUUAUGACCAGACUUGGGCUAGGUGAAUCAUCCGGCGUUCUCGCCGGUGCACUUUGCCUGUCCAGGCCAGCAUCAGUUCACGUCGGGGGAUAAAGGCGUCGGGAAUGUGGCUCCCUCGGGAGUGUUAUAGCCCAGCGUGUAAUACCCUGACGAGGACUGAGGUACGCGCUCCGCAAGGAUGCUGGCGUAAUGGUCAUCAGCGACCCGUCUUGAAACACGGACCAAGGAGUCGUCUUCGUAUGCGAGUGUUCGGGUGUCAAACCCCUACGCGUAAUGAAAGUGAACGUAGGAGAGAGCUUCGGCGCAUCUCCGACCGAUCCUGAUGUUCUCGGAUGGAUUUGAGUAAGAGCAUACGGGGCCGGACCCGAAAGAAGGUGAACUAUGCCUGUAUAGGGUGAAGCCAGAGGAAACUCUGGUGGAGGCUCGCAGCGGUUCUGACGUGCAAAUCGAUCGUCAAAUAUGGGCAUGGGGGCGAAAGACUAAUCGAACCUUCUAGUAGCUGGUUUCC
Molecule: ribosomal RNA, 874 nt
Filed under: Stilbocrea macrostoma
Lineage: Eukaryota; Fungi; Ascomycota; Sordariomycetes; Hypocreales; Bionectriaceae
Description: eukaryotic LSU rRNA
Rfam family: Eukaryotic large subunit ribosomal RNA
Source: RNAcentral